UGCUCCACUAUUUAUUAGAAC
Molecule: non-coding RNA, 21 nt
Filed under: Caenorhabditis elegans
Lineage: Eukaryota; Metazoa; Nematoda; Chromadorea; Rhabditida; Rhabditidae
Source: RNAcentral